This 755-nucleotide ribosomal RNA is filed under the name uncultured bacterium. Its description in RNAcentral is "bacterial SSU rRNA". It matches the Rfam family "Bacterial small subunit ribosomal RNA", at positions 64 to 813 of the family's 1533-position model. The record is from RNAcentral.
GAGCGGAGAUGAGGUGCUUGCACCUUAUCUUAGCGGCGGACGGGUGAGUAAUGCUUAGGAAUCUGCCUAUUAGUGGGGGACAACAUUCCGAAAGGAAUGCUAAUACCGCAUACGUCCUACGGGAGAAAGCAGGGGAUCUUCGGACCUUGCGCUAAUAGAUGAGCCUAAGUCGGAUUAGCUAGUUGGUGGGGUAAAGGCCUACCAAGGCGACGAUCUGUAGCGGGUCUGAGAGGAUGAUCCGCCACACUGGGACUGAGACACGGCCCAGACUCCUACGGGAGGCAGCAGUGGGGAAUAUUGGACAAUGGGGGGAACCCUGAUCCAGCCAUGCCGCAUGUGUGAAGAAGGCCUUAUGGUUGUAAAGCACUUUAAGCGAGGAGGAGGCUACUGAGACUAAUACUCUUGGAUAGUGGACGUUACUCGCAGAAUAAGCACCGGCUAACUCUGUGCCAGCAGCCGCGGUAAUACAGAGGGUGCGAGCGUUAAUCGGAUUUACUGGGCGUAAAGCGUGCGUAGGCGGCUUUUUAAGUCGGAUGUGAAAUCCCCGAGCUUAACUUGGGAAUUGCAUUCGAUACUGGGAAGCUAGAGUAUGGGAGAGGAUGGUAGAAUUCCAGGUGUAGCGGUGAAAUGCGUAGAGAUCGGGAGGAAUACCGAUGGCGAAGGCAGCCAUCUGGCCUAAUACUGACGCUGAGGUACGAAAGCAUGGGGAGCAAACAGGAUUAGAUACCCUGGUAGUCCAUGCCGUAAACGAUGUC